UACAGAGGUCUCAAGCGUUAUUCGGAUUCAUUGGGCGUAAAGGGUGCGUAGGCGGCGCGGUAAGUCGGGUGUGAAAUCUUGGAGCUUAACUCCGAAACUGCAUUCGAUACUGCCGUGCUUGAGGACUGGAGAGGAGACUGGAAUUUACGGUGUAGCGGUGAAAUGCGUAGAUAUCGUAAGGAAGACCAGUGGCGAAGGCGGGUCUCUGGACAUUUCCUGACGCUGAGGCACGAAAGCCAGGGGAGCAAACGGG
This 253-nucleotide ribosomal RNA is filed under the name uncultured bacterium. RNAcentral describes it as "partial 16S ribosomal RNA". It matches the Rfam family "Bacterial small subunit ribosomal RNA", at positions 524 to 776 of the family's 1533-position model. The record is from RNAcentral.